This 253-nucleotide ribosomal RNA is filed under the name uncultured bacterium. RNAcentral's name for it is "partial 16S ribosomal RNA". It matches the Rfam family "Bacterial small subunit ribosomal RNA", at positions 524 to 776 of the family's 1533-position model. The record is from RNAcentral.
UACGUAGGUGGCAAGCGUUGUCCGGAUUUAUUGGGUUUAAAGGGUGCGUAGGCGGUUCAAUAAGUCAGUGGUGAAAUACGGCAGCUCAACUGUCGAGGUGCCAUUGAUACUGUUGGACUUGAGUACAGACGAGGUAGGCGGAAUUGACGGUGUAGCGGUGAAAUGCUUAGAUAUCGUCAAGAACACCGAUAGCGAAGGCAGCUUACUAGGCUGUAACUGACGCUGAGGCGCGAAAGCGUGGGGAGCAAACAGG